CUACGCUCUCCGCCCACAGGGUGGGAUCCCUCCGCGCCGGCAGCGUAGCCGGAUCUAGCCCCCUUCGCGCGCGCGAGGCGACAGGAGAAAAAAGAGUCCGCGGCAACGGCGGAGGAGGACAACGCAGAAUGGCGACGAGGAAAUCAGUGAAAGAGGAAAACAUGGAAUAGCUGGGCAACAUAUUUGGAUUUAUGGAACCAGGAGUCUUCCAGCUGGAACCAUUUUCAGAGCAUAGAGACAACAAUAAUAAAAGCCAAACUGAGAUGUCAUUACUGUUUACAUUUCCUGAGCAAAUAAAAAUGGCUUGACCUGA
This is a long non-coding RNA of Anolis carolinensis (green anole), 313 nucleotides long. RefSeq lists it as uncharacterized. The transcript is spliced from 2 exons. NCBI's taxonomy places the organism in Eukaryota, Metazoa, Chordata, Lepidosauria, Squamata, Anolidae. The record is from RefSeq and is a predicted model, not a curated record.